This 552-nucleotide ribosomal RNA is filed under the name uncultured bacterium. RNAcentral's name for it is "partial 16S ribosomal RNA". It matches the Rfam family "Bacterial small subunit ribosomal RNA", at positions 355 to 899 of the family's 1533-position model. The record is from RNAcentral.
UGGGGAAUUUUGGACAAUGGGGGAAACCCUGAUCCAGCCAUCCCGCGUGUGCGAUGAAGGCCUUCGGGUUGUAAAGCACUUUUGGCAGGAAAGAAACGUCGCGGGUUAAUACCCCGCGAAACUGACGGUACCUGCAGAAUAAGCACCGGCUAACUACGUGCCAGCAGCCGCGGUAAUACGUAGGGUGCAAGCGUUAAUCGGAAUUACUGGGCGUAAAGCGUGCGCAGGCGGUUCGGAAAGAAAGAUGUGAAAUCCCAGAGCUUAACUUUGGAACUGCAUUUUUAACUACCGGGCUAGAGUGUGUCAGAGGGAGGUGGAAUUCCGCGUGUAGCAGUGAAAUGCGUAGAUAUGCGGAGGAACACCGAUGGCGAAGGCAGCCUCCUGGGAUAACACUGACGCUCAUGCACGAAAGCGUGGGGAGCAAACAGGAUUAGAUACCCUGGUAGUCCACGCCCUAAACGAUGUCAACUAGCUGUUGGGGGCCUUCGGGCCUUGGUAGCGCAGCUAACGCGUGAAGUUGACCGCCUGGGGAGUACGGUCGCAAGAUUAAAA